AACGAACGCUGGCGGCGUGGCUAAGACAUGCAAGUCGAACGGACCAUAUGAUUGAGUAAUCGAGAUUAUGGUUAGUGGCGUAAGGGUGAGGAACGAAUAGGUAACGUACCCCGAAGUCCGGGAUAGCGUCUGAAUGCUUCGGCAUUCUUCCGAAAGGGGCGGUAAUACCGGAUGUUAUCAUCGCAUUUGAGUGCGGUGAUCAAAGAUUUAUCGCUUUGGGAGCGGCCUAUUUCCUAUCAGCUUGUUGGUGAGGUAACGGCUCACCAAGGCUACGACGGGUAGCGGGACUGAGAGGUUGGCCCGCCACAUCGGGACUGAGACACUGCCCGGACCUCCACGGAGGGCUGCAGUAACGAAUAUUGUGCAAUGAGCGAAAGCUUGACACAGCGACGCCGCGUGUAGGAUGAAACCUUUCGGGGUGUAAACUACUGUCAGGGGUUAGAAAGUGCGCUUCGGCGCAU
Molecule: ribosomal RNA, 461 nt
Filed under: uncultured bacterium
Lineage: Bacteria
Description: bacterial SSU rRNA
Rfam family: Bacterial small subunit ribosomal RNA
Source: RNAcentral